GAUGAAGAACGUAGCGAAAUGCGAUAAGUAGUGUGAAUUGCAGAAUUCAGUGAAUCAUCGAAUCUUUGAACGCACAUUGCGCCCCUUGGUAUUCCAUGGGGCAUGCCUGUUCGAGCGUCAUUUGUACCUUCAAGCUCUGCUUGGUGUUGGGUGUUUGUCUCGCCUCUGCGUGUAGACUCGCCUCAAAACGAUUGGCAGCCGGCGUAUUGAUUUCGGAGCGCAGUACAUCUCGCGCUUUGCACUCAUAACGACGACGUCCAAAAGUACAUUUUUACACUCUUGACCUCGGAUCAGGUAGGGAUACCCGCUGAACUUAAGCAUAUCAAUAAGCGGAGGA
Molecule: unclassified non-coding RNA, 337 nt
Filed under: soil metagenome
Description: partial contains 5.8S ribosomal RNA, internal transcribed spacer 2, and large subunit ribosomal RNA
Rfam family: 5.8S ribosomal RNA (bases 1-120)
Source: RNAcentral